UUAUUACGAAGAGUUUGAUCCUGGCUCAGGAUGAACGCUGGCGGCGUGCCUAAUACAUGCAAGUCGAACGGAAACCUUCGGGUUUUAGUGGCGAACGGGUGAGUAACACGUAAGCAACCUACCCUAAAGACGAGGAUAACCAUUGGAAACAGUGGCUAAGACUGGAUAGGAAGAUAAAAGGCAUCUUGUAUCUUUUAAAAGACCUAGUUAAUAGGUAUGCUUUAGGAGGGGCUUGCGCCAUAUUAGUUAGUUGGUAGGGUAAUGGCCUACCAAGACGAUGAUGUGUAGCUGGACUGAGAGGUUGAACAGCCACAUUGGGACUGAGACACGGCCCAAACUCCUACGGGAGGCAGCAGUAGGGAAUUUUCGGCAAUGGAGGAAACUCUGACCGAGCAACGCCGCGUGAAUGACGAAGUACUUCGGUAUGUAAAGUUCUUUUAUCGAGGAAGAAAAGCAAAUGGCGAACCAUUUGUUUGCCGGUACUUGAUGAAUAAGCCCCGGCUAAUUAUGUGCCAGCAGCCGCGGUAAGACAUAAGGGGCAAGUGUUAUCCGGAAUUAUUGGGCGUAAAGGGUGCGUAGGCGGUCUAGUAAGUCAGUGGUGUAAUGGCAACGCUUAACGUUGUCCGGCUAUUGAAACUGCUAAACUUGAGUUAGAUAGAGGCGAGUGGAAUUCCAUGUGUAGCGGUAAAAUGCGUAAAUAUAUGGAGGAACACCAGAGGCGUAGGCGGCUCGCUGGGUCUUAACUGACGCUGAGGCACGAAAGCGUGGAGAGCAAACAGGAUUAGAUACCCUGGUAGUCCACGCCGUAAACGAUGAGUACUAAGUGUCGGGUUAAACCGGUACUGAAGUUAACACAUUAAGUACUCCGCCUGAGUAGUACGUACGCAAGUAUGAAACUUAAAGGAAUUGACGGGACUCCGCACAAGCGGUGGAUCAUGUUGUUUAAUUCGAAGAUACCCGAAAAACCUUACCAGGUCUUGACAUGUUUUUGCAAAAUGAUAGUAAUAUCGUGGAGGUUACCAGAAACACAGGUGGUGCAUGGUUGUCGUCAGCUCGUGUCGUGAGAUGUUAGGUUAAGUCCUAAAACGAGCGAAACCCUUAUCGUUAGUUGCCAGCACGUUAUGGUGGGGACUUUAACGAGACUGCCAAUGAUAAAUUGGAGGAAGGUGAGGAUCACGUCAAAUCAGCAUGCCCUUUAUGACCUGGGCUACAAACGUGAUACAAUGGCUGUUACAAAGGGUAGCUGAAACGCAAGUUCUUGGCCAAUCCCCAAAAACAGUCCCAGUCCGGAUUGAAGUCUGCAACUCGACUUCAUGAAGUUGGAAUCGCUAGUAAUCGCGAAUCAGCAUGUUGCGGUGAAUACGUUCUCGGGGUUUGUACACACCGCCCGUCAAACCACGAAAGUUGGCAAUACCCCAAAACGGUAGCCUAACUCGUUUAUUCGAGAGGGCGCCGUCUAAGGUAGGGUCGAUGAUUGGGGUUAAGUCGUAACAAGGUGUCCCUACCGGAAGGUGGGGAUGGAUCACCUCCUUUCU
This 1535-nucleotide ribosomal RNA is filed under the name Citrus blotchy-mottle phytoplasma. Its description in RNAcentral is "16S ribosomal RNA". It matches the Rfam family "Bacterial small subunit ribosomal RNA". Lineage: Bacteria; Bacillati; Mycoplasmatota; Mollicutes; Acholeplasmatales; Acholeplasmataceae. The record is from RNAcentral.